AAAACUCAAAUGAAUUGACGGGGGCCCGCACAAGCGGUGGAGCAUGUGGUUUAAUUCGAUGCAACGCGAAGAACCUUACCUACUCUUGACAUCCAGAGAACUUUCCAGAGAUGGAUUGGUGCCUUCGGGAACUCUGAGACAGGUGCUGCAUGGCUGUCGUCAGCUCGUGUUGUGAAAUGUUGGGUUAAGUCCCGCAACGAGCGCAACCCUUAUCCUUUGUUGCCAGCGGUCCGGCCGGGAACUCAAAGGAGACUGCCAGUGAUAAACUGGAGGAAGGUGGGGAUGACGUCAAGUCAUCAUGGCCCUUACGAGUAGGGCUACACACGUGCUACAAUGGCGCAUACAAAGAGAAGCGACCUCGCGAGAGCAAGCGGACCUCAUAAAGUGCGUCGUAGUCCGGAUUGGAGUCUGCAACUCGACUCCAUGAAGUCGGAAUCGCUAGUAAUCGUAGAUCAGAAUGCUACGGUGAAUACGUUCCCG
RNAcentral lists this ribosomal RNA (480 nucleotides) under Pantoea sp. N1.116. RNAcentral's name for it is "bacterial SSU rRNA". It matches the Rfam family "Bacterial small subunit ribosomal RNA", at positions 896 to 1376 of the family's 1533-position model. Lineage: Bacteria; Pseudomonadati; Pseudomonadota; Gammaproteobacteria; Enterobacterales; Erwiniaceae. The record is from RNAcentral.